GGGACGUAACAAAGCGACCCAGGAAUGCUUGGGCGUGCCUCCACCCACGCCGGCGUCGGCGGGCGUAUUUCGCCUCACAGUAGGUCGCCGCGACCCGUUGCUUUUGGGGACGUCGAAGGCCCGGACGGAUUGGUACCCUACCGGGUGGGGAUGCGGCUUCGGCUUCUCCUCUUGUCCGGUGGGCGAAACCGCCGGUGUCCUGGCUGCCCUGCGACGGUCGUAGAGACGAGCCCUCCCCUUCGGGGGGGCGGCUCUCGCGGCGUGCAAAAGGUCGGUGAUCCACCCGACCCGUCUUGAAACACGGACCAAGGAGUCUAACAUGUGUGCGAGUCAGUGGGCGCACUAAACCCAGAGGCGUAAUGAAAGUGACACGGGUUCGGCUGUCGCCUCGUGUGGCAGCCGGACUCAGGGCCGAUCCCUCACCGGUUGCCCUCGCCUCUCUCCCGCGUCUCGGUAAGCCGGGUGAGCUAUUUUCCCCGGCCGCUGCUGCGGGGCUCGGGGGGAGGCGGGGUUGCGAUGGUGUCCGUAAAAAAGAGCCUGCUGUUGCAGGGGGGCGCAGGCCCGGGACUUGCCAGGACGCCGCGAGACUGUCACUUUGCUGUGAGGCUCUCGGGCCGAUCAGCGGGUCAUGCGUGCAGUCGGCAAGUACCAUGAGCAGACAUGUUGGGACCCGAAAGAUGGUGAACUAUGCCUGGCCAGGAUGAAGCCAGAGGAAACUCUGGUGGAGGUCCGUA
Molecule: ribosomal RNA, 734 nt
Rfam family: Eukaryotic large subunit ribosomal RNA (bases 305-734)